AUGGACCUUUCAGGUAAGACCUCUGGGAAUAAAAUCACUCCAAAUAGUGUUGAACUCAACACAGUGGAGGGAGAUAAUUUAACCCUCUCCUGUAACUACAGCUCUGGAAACUAUCUACAGUGGUAUCGCCAGUAUCCAAGAUCAGCACCCCAGUUUCUCUUGUUCAUCACUAGUCCCGAUAAGACAGACAAAUCAGAUGUGGAACCACGAUUCUCUGGGAGAAUGAAUAAGGAGAGGAAUCAGAUGUUUCUGGACAUCUCCUCUGCUAAACUCUCAGACUCUGCUCUCUACUACUGUGCCCUGAGGCCCACAGUGAAGGAAACUGGCAAACUGUCAUACAAAAACUGA
Molecule: non-coding RNA, 348 nt
Organism: Clupea harengus (Atlantic herring)
Lineage: Eukaryota; Metazoa; Chordata; Actinopteri; Clupeiformes; Clupeidae
Source: the annotation of a RefSeq genome assembly